AUGCACUGUCAGCAAGAAAAAUAAGUACAACUGAUGGAUAGUGCUGGGAUAAGUGAAUGAGAUUAAACAAGAUUUGGAUUAAUUGAGAUCGGGUUAUUAGAUAUUUAGAAAGGACACUUGAUGAUAAUAAUGAUGAGAGCGGGUUUUGCUCAUGAAGGUGUGGCAUGCUUAUUCUUGUAGACAUGUCCAUUCAGCAAUAUUUUAU
Molecule: unclassified non-coding RNA, 205 nt
Filed under: Hevea brasiliensis (rubber tree)
Lineage: Eukaryota; Viridiplantae; Streptophyta; Magnoliopsida; Malpighiales; Euphorbiaceae
Source: RNAcentral